RNAcentral lists this unclassified non-coding RNA (397 nucleotides) under Hevea brasiliensis (rubber tree). Lineage: Eukaryota; Viridiplantae; Streptophyta; Magnoliopsida; Malpighiales; Euphorbiaceae. The record is from RNAcentral.
GUGGAUUUUUACUUGUACUGUGACUUCCUAUCUAAUAAAAAAAAAAGCCCAUGAAAACAUUUCUAACUAGGAUUACGACUGUCAACCACCGGGAAGACCUUUACAGCAAAAGAAAGUUGCUCACGCACCUCAAAUUUACUGUUAUUGAAGAGCUUCAAACUCCACGAAUCAUCGAAAGUCGUGCAAGCCUGAAAGCUUGACCGGGGAGGGCUUAGAAACAAAAAGCAAGCCCCACUACAAUCCAAAACAUAACAAUGCAGAACCAAGGCCAUCGGGAUACCGCAAAGAACAUAGGAGGCUGUAGGGCUUUUGACACUCUAGCUCUCGUUAUAACCAUUAAGGGACUGAAAGCAUCAAAUGGCAUCGUGAACAUUAUUGAAAUGACUAGCCUCGAAGA